AUAUGUAACAAACCUGCACAUUGUGCACAUGUACCCUAAAACUUAAAGUAUAAUUAAAAAAAAAAGAAAUCUACAUUGGGGCUGAUAAUUGUAAAGGCUUUUAACAUGAGGCAGAAAUUUAGUGAUUGAAGAUUUGCAGCUUUGCUCUGGUUAUCUGCUCUGUCACCUUUAAACCUUCAUUUCACUUGUAAAACAGAACACUAACAUUUUUUACUUCUUGCGUGACUGUCAUAUCAUGGGUGCAUUAACAGCUCUGAAACGUUUUUGUUUCUGAGAGGAAAGAUGGUGUGUAAAUAAACAUUGGAAUUAUGACUUUUUCUAUGUAGACUUUCCUGUGAAGCUUAAAAUAAGGAAAGGAAUAUUAGGGAUCUUUCUUUCUAGUGAUAAAUAUAAACAAAGCCAUUCUGUCAUCUCCCUUCUGCAGGAUGACACCAGUGGAAUCUUUCAACUCUCAAGGCUGAUAUUGAUGUAGUCCUCCACUAAAUGAAUUAUUUGGUACUAGAUGGUUACAGUUUUUGCAGUAAUUUAUUAGGAAUAAAAACCACCUGCUAAUUCACUUCAAUCUUUUAUGUCUUGGGCAUUUGAUGUGCCUAUACCUUUGCUUACCCCUUAAGUUCACAGUGUUCAUGAAGGUGGUGCAGUGUUUUCGUUUUUCCUGUCCUCACUUUCUUUACAGUAGCAGUCAUCUGCUCUUCAUAGAAACUCAGUUCUGACACACAGCAUGGACAGAGGAAACUGCAGUUUACUUAACGUAAACCUAGGUCUGCAGUUUCCUCUUCUUGUUAUAACAAUAAUGACCAAACCCUGAAGUUACAUACAGAUUUCCUUUCUUUUAUGAUUUUAAAAUGCUUCAUCGACUUCAUCCACCAUUCCUGGGCCAAAGCUAGUUAAGUCGACAGUGAUAAAAUUUGAGUUAGAAUCCAAGUUGCCUAUUGAGUCAUUCUUUUGACUAACCUUCAUUACUUUCCAGUUCUAGAAUGCCACAUAGAUGCCAAAGAGAGAGCUAAUUUGUAGCACUACUGCACAGGCAAAGACAUAAAUUUGAUAGAAUAAAGCCUUUGUUGCUGGUACAUCUUGUUACAAAUUGAAGGGGAUUACAGCUUUCUCAGUAGGCAUUUCUAAUAUUUUCUUAACUGCUAAAUGCUGUGAUUAUAAAUGCAUGCCAUUAGAGAAAUGCUUCACUCUAUGCUUUUGCCAAGGUGUUUCUGAAAUUUAAGAAGUUAAAUGUAUAAUUAUCGCAAGCUUCUCAGGAAGCACUCCAUUUUUCUAUUUUCUAUUAACUAGCUGUAGGCACAAUGAGCAAGCACUCAUUCCUAUGUGUUGAAAAUUAUUAUGGGAGGACUUUCAGAAGGGGAAAGAAAUGGGCUGUGUCUUCUAAACAUUAUGAUAGUAGAGUUAACAUUGAGUUGUUGGUUCUUUAAAGAAAUUAUCUCUGAUGUAGGCAUUGUAUUUCCUAGCCUUAAUUCUGUGACUGUGCCAACAGAGCAAGGGACGUGUGUUAUCAGAUGGGGACCUUUGAGCUUGACCCUGAAGAAUGACUAAUGGUCAUAGAAGAAGGCAGGGGACAGCAUUUCAGGCAGAGGGACCCAUGGGAAGAUACAUGACUGCAGUCCUGGUGAUUCCUAGGGAAUGGAGAGGGGUGGGCUGGGAGUCAGCCUAAAAUUCCAUUAUGAAAGACUGGUAAGCUAAAAAAGUCUACCAGCUACCCUAAGGAGCUUAAACUUGCCUUUUGGUCAAAGGAAAGCCAUCAAAGAAGGGAAGUGGCAUAAUCAGAUGUGGCCUUUGUAAGAUCUCUCUGGCAUUGCUUUAGAGGAAGAAUUGAGUGAAGAAGAGGGAAAUGUUGGAAAGAACCUUUAGAAAGCUACCAUAGUGAGUCAAGUGAGAGGUGCCAGCCUGAACUGGGGCAAUGACCAUAAGAACUGAGGAGGGAGUAAAUGUGGAAAGUCAUUUACACAGUAAAAUUGACAGAAUUCAGUGACUAGCAAUGGGGGAUGUGCAUGCUAUUUUAUAUUAAGCAAUUUGUAAGGAUUCUUUGGUAUAGUGGCAGACAUAAGAAUGUUGUGUUUCUUACCACCUUUGCCAAAAAGCUAUGUAAGCCAUUUCCCUUGCUUUGUUUGCCUGCAGUUUGCUUCAGGUAGCUGAGAUGUUAGUAUUUAUCUCACUGACAGAUUGUUAGGUGGGGUUCUGGCAAACACUAUGGGGACUACACAAACUUUUCUUUCCAGAACCCUUUGAAAAUACCUUAAACAGAGAGAAUCUCUGGUAGCUCCCAAAUAAACCGACAUAUUUGGCCAGAGCUUUGGCAUUUGCUGCAAUAUGUGUGCCUUCCUCAGAAUUAACUGGGAUUUUAGGGUGGCUCUCCUGAUCUCUGUAAUCUGAGUUGGUGUUACUAUACUUCUAUUCUAGAAUACUCUCUGUCAUCCAUUCAUUUGCUAACUUUUGUUCAAGCCGAUGUCAUAGAGGAGCCAGGCUAACUAUGGUGGCUCCCAACUAUGUGGCUCCUGCCCUCAAGAAGUAUAGUCUAGUUGUGGAGGAAAGAUAUCAACACAACUAACUGAGAUACAAGGAAGCAGUGAAGAGAAUCCCAAGAGAGACACAUAGGAGUUUGAAGAAGAAUUUACACCUGAGAAAGCAGGAUUCUUUCAUAGGGCAGAAGUAGUUUGACCUGGACCUUAAAUUAGGUUUUGGGUUGGAUUUAAAGAAUCCACAUUGAAGAAGAGUAUUCCUAGUGGGAAGAAUAGCAUUAGAAAAUGCACAGAGAUACCAAAAUAUUAGAUGUUUUUUGGAACUCUGAAACGAUUUCAUGUUUCCAGAAUACCAAGAAUUGGGGGUGUGGGAGGGGAGGCAGGAGAAGGAAGAUUUCAUGAGAAAUGAGAUUGGGACCAGACUGUGGAGGAUUUUGAGGGCUGAGAAGUUUUACUUCAUUCUAGAAAUAAUGAGGAACGACUCAGCAUUUGUUUGCCUGCAGUUUGCUUCAGUGACUGAAUAGUGAGGGAGCUGAAGAGUGAUUAAGCAGACUUGGGGCCAGAGUGAAUUCAAGUCUGAUUGCCUCUGGAGGGUGUCUUCCUUCAGCCUUCAUCACUGGAGUGAGGACUGAUAGGUGGCCCAGAAGCCAAGGUAACCGGAACCACAGCAGUCCUUCGAAAGAGGGCAUGCACUCAGAGGGCAGCUCUGGAGGACAGAGACAGAAAGAAUACGUAGGGAGGGAUGGGGGUUGGGGGGCGGGAAUGCAGAAAAAGAAAAGGUGCUUGCCCAGUCGUAACUUAGAUUUGAAAAGCUUAUAAACUUUUCAUAUUUUAUUUUCAGUAAAAUAGUUACAUCAAAGUAUAUGACUAGAUGGAUGUGGGUCCUAUUUCCAGGAAUAUAGCUGCACUAUUCACCAGAAAACUGAACCUGUAUUUUCCCGAAAUGUAGUUUAUGCUUUGUAGUGUAUUAAAUUGUAGAUUAGAAAUACCAACAAUAGCUCCUAACCUGACUUCCUGACUUCCAACUGUAGAAAUGAGCAGUAUCUGUAAAAUGUAUGUGAAAACUUGGUUCAGCAAUACUUUCCCUAGGGAUCCUGUCUGUAUCCCUCCCUUGCCCCACCCCAUUUUCUUCUGUUCCUUUGUUAAGUCUGGGGACCCACCCUACUUCCUUCCCCUUUUCUAAUUCACUCAUGAAAUAUGGAUGGGUGGGAAGGGGAUUUUGCACACUCUGAAACUGCAUCUUGGCACAGUCUGCUGCCAGGGUAGGGUCUCUAUCACUCAGCCUCAACCGGAAUUUCCUUUUCCCUGUUUCCUGCAGCCUCAUCCUGGAAUUCUGCCUACGUCAAAGGUUCCUUGUUUAAGGAUUACGAGGGGAGAAGUGGUUUGGAGUAUUCUGGCUACUGUCACACUUAUUUACAUAUUAAAAGUUGGUCUCUACCUUU
Molecule: long non-coding RNA, 3907 nt
Filed under: Homo sapiens (human)
Lineage: Eukaryota; Metazoa; Chordata; Mammalia; Primates; Hominidae
Description: HSALNT0339579
Source: RNAcentral